RNAcentral lists this ribosomal RNA (451 nucleotides) under Microbotryum dianthorum. RNAcentral describes it as "eukaryotic LSU rRNA". The stretch from base 6 to 159 matches the Rfam family "5.8S ribosomal RNA". The record is from RNAcentral. Lineage: Eukaryota; Fungi; Basidiomycota; Microbotryomycetes; Microbotryales; Microbotryaceae.
AAAAAAACUUUCAACAACGGAUCUCUUGGCUCUCGCAUCGAUGAAGAACGCAGCGAAAUGUGAUAAGUAAUGUGAAUUGCAGAAUUCAGUGAAUCAUCGAAUCUUUGAACGCAUCUUGCGCUCGCUGGUAUUCCGGCGAGCAUGUCUGUUUGAGUGUCGUGAACUCUUCAACCCCCCCUUUUUCUUAUGGAGACUGGGGUGCGGCUUGGUUUCUGAACGCUUGCUGGACUGGAAUUCCUUUUGGGGGAUUCUAAGGUCGGAGCUCGUUCGUAAUGCAUUAGCAUCCUAACCUUCGAGAUCAGAUUGACUCGGCGUAAUAGACUAUUCGCUGAGGACAUCGCAUCCCUUUACUGGGGUGUGAUGGCUGGCCUGGGAAAAAGUGGAAGCUGCUAGACCCCUGACGAUAAGUCACUAUUCUAAGCUUAGACCUCAGAUCAGGCAGGAUACCCGC